This 40-nucleotide non-coding RNA is filed under the name Plasmodium falciparum 3D7. The record is from RNAcentral. Lineage: Eukaryota; Apicomplexa; Aconoidasida; Haemosporida; Plasmodiidae.
CAUUUUGAGGAUUAGGAUAAUUGAUAUUUUGAUUAUGAUG